RNAcentral lists this long non-coding RNA (280 nucleotides) under Medicago truncatula (barrel medic). RNAcentral's name for it is "long non-coding RNA (MTRU_LNC003600)". Lineage: Eukaryota; Viridiplantae; Streptophyta; Magnoliopsida; Fabales; Fabaceae. The record is from RNAcentral.
UAAACUAGUAACGUGAUACUGAAAAUCCUAUAAACUCUCAUUUUUCAUGCAGCUAGAGGACAUGCAUGAUUGGGUGUCCACGUCAACCCUUCAUAGUGAUGGGACCAAAGGGUGCAAAAUAAUUAUUGAUAUUGAAUUUGCGCAUAUCAAAGGUUGGAGUCACCUUUGAAUUGAAAGUGAUUCGUAGAUAACUAUUUCAAAAUCUCAUGAUUUGGUUCCUUGGGACCUUCCCAAUUGUUGGAACAAUUGCUUUGCCUCUCCUUUACGUCUCCUCUUCUCC